Molecule: ribosomal RNA, 475 nt
Filed under: Acidobacteriota bacterium
Lineage: Bacteria; Pseudomonadati; Acidobacteriota
Description: bacterial SSU rRNA
Rfam family: Bacterial small subunit ribosomal RNA
Source: RNAcentral
UGUAAACAUUUUCGACCGGGACGAACACCUCGCAAGAGGGGUGACGGUACCGGUAUAAGAAGCCCCGGCUAACUACGUGCCAGCAGCCGCGGUAAGACGUAGGGGGCCAGCGUUGCUCGGAAUUACUGGGUGUAAAGGGUUCGUAGGCGGUGUGGCAAGUCGGGAGUGAAAUCUCUGGGCUCAACCCAGGGGCUGCUUCCGAAACUGCCGUGCUAGAGUGUGGGAGAGGCGCGUGGAAUUGCAGGUGUAGCGGUGAAAUGCGUAGAUAUCUGCAGGAACACCCGUGGCGAAAGCGGCGCGCUGGACCACUACUGACGCUGAGGCAUGAAAGCUAGGGGAGCAAACAGGAUUAGAUACCCUGGUAGUCCUAGCCCUAAACGAUCAGGACUUGGGGUGCCACCCGUUCGGGUGUCGUCCCGGAGCUAACGCGUUAAGUCCUGCACCUGGGGAGUACGGUCGCAAGACUGAAACUGUA